RNAcentral lists this unclassified non-coding RNA (468 nucleotides) under Hevea brasiliensis (rubber tree). Lineage: Eukaryota; Viridiplantae; Streptophyta; Magnoliopsida; Malpighiales; Euphorbiaceae. The record is from RNAcentral.
UGAUAAUUUUUAGCAUCAAGGGAAAGAAUCUUCCUGGUAAACUGAAGUUCCUUAGCUGUAGCAUAAGUCCCUAAUUUCUCAGAAACCCACCGCCUAUGAUGCCAUAUCUGAUAGUUUUUGCUGUUUUUCUUAGCAAUUCCGUUCAACGUAAUCCAGCUCUUCAUCCAAGUCUGCAUUGAGUGCCUCGAGUACUAGACGCCUGAAAUGCCAAACAGUGUAAUUGCCGGGAUUAAGGAGGAUGACUAGGUGGGUGAGCUGGAGGGCGCGAGGGGAUCGCUCGUCAGAGAGAUAGAUAGCGCGGAAGUAGUUCAUUGCCUCCUCAAACUCUGGCUUGUAAUCUAUGGGCACCACCGGAUUGGGACCGUCGUCUUGGGGGACGGGAACAACGUCCGACCACUCCGGUAUCUGGCUCAGUGGCACCAUCUCCUCCGGCCGCAGGUCGUCGUCGGAGUCCAUCGCUUGCUUCUU